CCUACGGGAGGCAGCAGUGGGGAAUAUUGGACAAUGGGGGGAACCCUGAUCCAGCCAUGCCGCGUGUGUGAAGAAGGCCCUCGGGUUGUAAAGCACUUUCAGUGAGGAAGAACGCCUGGUGGUUAAUACCCAUCAGGAAAGACAUCACUCACAGAAGAAGCACCGGCUAACUCCGUGCCAGCAGCCGCGGUAAUACGGCGGGUGCGAGCGUUAAUCGGAAUUACUGGGCGUAAAGCGCGCGUAGGUGGCUUGAUAAGCCGGUUGUGAAAGCCCCGGGCUCAACCUGGGAACGGCAUCCGGAACUGUCAAGCUAGAGUGCAGGAGAGGAAGGUAGAAUUCCCGGUGUAGCGGGGAAAUGCGUAGAGAUCGGGAGGAAUACCAGUGGCGAAGGCGGCCUUCUGGACUGACACUGACACUGAGGUGCGAAAGCGUGGGUAGCAAACAGGAUUAGAUACCCCGGUAGUC
Molecule: ribosomal RNA, 465 nt
Filed under: Vreelandella stevensii
Lineage: Bacteria; Pseudomonadati; Pseudomonadota; Gammaproteobacteria; Oceanospirillales; Halomonadaceae
Description: partial 16S ribosomal RNA
Rfam family: Bacterial small subunit ribosomal RNA
Source: RNAcentral